Oreochromis aureus is the source of this 1471-nucleotide long non-coding RNA. Lineage: Eukaryota; Metazoa; Chordata; Actinopteri; Cichliformes; Cichlidae. The record is from Ensembl.
UGGCUGAGACGCAGCAGAGCGGACGUGGAAGCGCCUGCCUUAAAACAGGACAUAUUAGCUGCAUUUAACCUUCAGUUACUCUUUUUAUGGUUAGGUUGGAGUCAGGCCAUGUUUAUUUUUAGCUGAAAAACAUUACACCCAGGUAACCUGCAGUGUUGAAAACGUGUUUCCCGACUAUGUUUGCUACCCUAUAAUCCGUCCUACUCUGUAGUAAAAUCAGCGAUAUUUGAUUGUCCUGUUGCUCCCAUUGAAAUUUAUAUAGCCUAUUUAAAAUCUAAAACUUAACAUUGUCCGUAGCCUGCUGUUGUUACCACUGUCCUGUUUGAAAUGUAAAUGAGAGAAACUGGUUAUUUUGUCAUAUGUGCAUGUGCCGAUAUUAAACCCAAGGUACUAACUAGCUAACUGACUGGAUGCCCAUUAACCUUAUAACUCCUGUUGUGUGUGUGUGUGUGUCUGUGUGUACAGAGAGAUAGCCAGGUUCAUAAUGGAUAUGAGGAAGUUUUUUCAAAAAAAGGAGCCACAUUCAGUCCAAAGAGGGAGAGAGGAAAGAGGGGAACAUGAGGAGAAAGUACAAGGUCAGGAAGAACCAGACCAAAUCCCCUGUACUCAUAUAGUGACUCAGAGGAUGAGCAGCCCACAAAAAAACGGUUUCCCCAGGCCCCUCGAGUGAAAAUACCAGCCCUCACCACUCCGCAGUCUUCCCCCCAGCCCACUGACAGCAGGCAUCAUAAUGCCCCUCCCAGCUUCCGGCACCUUUCGCCACUCCGGCAGAACACUCCAAACGACACAGCUUUGCAAUCUCCCCAGCAUGCAUGAGUCUGAUGUCGAGGCCUUCCCUAUAGAUGAUUCCAGAGACUCUGUGAGGCCACUAUUACAAGAUGCGACCUCACAAAAGAUGUUAACGAUGCUGUCAGACCUGACCAGAGCAGUUAACGAACUCCGUGAGGAGGUCAGAGCCAUCCGCCAUCCCUGCUGCAAUGAAUCGGUAGAUGCUGGGGUACUGCCUCUGGAUUUGCUCUUGCACAACAUUAAGGAGCUAAACAAUGCAGAGGCAGCUCUUCAAUCGCAAGAGGCAAAUAAGGCAAUGGUGAGACGCUUUGCCUUGAUUGGAGGGACCACACUGGAGGUGCGAGUCCGCCGUGUAAUGGCUUAUGCCAUCACAAACGAGCUGGCCUCAGUACUAAACUGGGCAGGGAAAAAAACAAAGGACCAGACGAAGCAAAAAAGGGCAUUUAAAGAUACAGCGCUGUGCAGAUGCAUAUUUGAUGGCCUGACGCAGCAGUUAGGGGCAAACUCUAUGUCAGAGUUUGUCUUUGCACAGGCAGUGCAGAAAUGGCUCCAAUACGCCCCAGAUCGUUUGGGUGGCGCAGGAUGCACAUCAUCCGUCCCCAUCCCGCAGUAAAAACUACAAAGUUAUGUUAAAAUAUAAAUGUAAAUAGAAAACUGUGUUUUAAUAAAGUAUUUAGCAAAC